RNAcentral lists this ribosomal RNA (497 nucleotides) under uncultured bacterium. RNAcentral describes it as "partial 16S ribosomal RNA". It matches the Rfam family "Bacterial small subunit ribosomal RNA", at positions 28 to 507 of the family's 1533-position model. The record is from RNAcentral.
GAUGAACGCUGGCGGCGUGCCUAAUACAUGCAAGUCGAGCGAACAGACGAGGAGCUUGCUCCUCUGACGUUAACGGCGGACGGGUGAGUAACACGUGGAUAACCUACCUAUAAGACUGGGAUAACUUCGGGAAACCGGAGCUAAUACCGGAUAAUAUAUUGAACCGCAUGGUUCAAUAGUGAAAGACGGUUUUGCUGUCACUUAUAGAUGGAUCCGCGCCGCAUUAGCUAGUUGGUAAGGUAACGGCUUACCAAGGCGACGAUGCGUAGCCGACCUGAGAGGGUGAUCGGUCACACUGGAACUGAGACACGGUCCAGACUCCUACGGGAGGCAGCAGUAGGGAAUCUUCCGCAAUGGGCGAAAGCCUGACGGAGCAACGCCGCGUGAGUGAUGAAGGUCUUCGGAUCGUAAAACUCUUUUAUUAGGGAAGAAGAAAUGUGUAAGUACCUAUGCACGUCUUGACGGUACCUAAACAGAAAGCCACGGCUAACUACGUG